UCAAACUUAUCUUGGGUAUCAAGAUCAGAGCUUUAACAGUUAUGUAGCUCCUUGGGCUCAUCCCCAACCCCAGCAGUUUCAUCCUCAAUAUCAACACCAAGGCCAACCUCAACUUCAACACCCAACCCAAGUCCAGUUUCAGCCCCAACCUCAAUCACAAAUUCAUCAUCAAUCCCGGCCCCAACCAUCCAAUCAGCCUCAACCACAGCAACCCCAAGAAUCUCCGUUACAAUCUCAGCAUACAUCACAACAGCUUCCACAGUCUCCUUUGCAAUCUGAACUGAACGAACAACCUAGAACUCAGCUAGAACUUCAUCCUCAGUCUCAACAGUUAC
Molecule: long non-coding RNA, 335 nt
Filed under: Capsicum annuum
Lineage: Eukaryota; Viridiplantae; Streptophyta; Magnoliopsida; Solanales; Solanaceae
Description: long non-coding RNA (CANN_LNC014122)
Source: RNAcentral